Molecule: long non-coding RNA, 3858 nt
Filed under: Olea europaea subsp. europaea
Lineage: Eukaryota; Viridiplantae; Streptophyta; Magnoliopsida; Lamiales; Oleaceae
Source: RNAcentral
CCCACUUAAACUGGUGGGAAUGAGAAUUGUUUCUACACUUUUAAAUGCUUUAAGAAGGCCUAUAUUUGAGAACAAGUUUAACCGGUCCCUUACUGUCAUAAAUAAUUCAAUUGAUUGAAAAACCCUCAUCCACGAGCUAUAAUGGGUUUGCUGUAUCGGCAGAUUGAGUGCGAAAUUGAAGGUAAGAACUUGUUUUCCACUAAAAUAAAUUCCGUCCACAUCUCGGCAAUGUUGAAAUCUAACAUCGAUUUACCCUACUAUAGCCAAACGAGAUAGCAACCAAGGGGUUGAACAUCCAACAAAGAUCGAAAUUUAAAUUUUUUGCCAAAGGGGAUUCACCGACUUCACUUGUGAAAGGUAUGUUCGUUGCAAUUAUUCUGAGUUGUAGUGUUUGAAAAUUUGAUUAAUAUUUUUGAAAUGUGUACAAUAUAUUAAGAUAUUCAUCUAUUUAUAAUUUUCUUGCAAAUAUUUUCGAAAUGUGUACAGAAUUUGGCUUUGCCGUGGCAUUGGGAUCUACGAAAUGACAGAGAAAGGUAAUUUCGUCAUAAUUUUUUGAAGUUGCACUAUUGAAAAACCUAUGUAUUUUCACUGCUUCUGUAAUUUCUUGUUUCACUUCUAAUAUUAUUGUAAUCAGAUUGUCAUGAACAUAUGAACAAUACUUAAAAUUCAUAUUCUCAUUCAAUAUGAUGUAGUUAAAGAAAGAGUGGAAGUAUUAGAUGAUGAAGUUUUAGUAGAAUCCAAUAAUGACAGCAAUACAGACAAUAUCUUCACAUUGAAAGAUGAUAUUCUAGGAGGAGAUGACGUGAUUGUGCCUAAAGUUGGUAUGAAGUUCAAAGAUGAAAAAGAGUUGUUAGAGUUUUAUAAGAGGUAUGCGUAUGACGUAGGUUUUUCGGUUAGGAGGAGGAAUUCUAGAAAGGGAGAAGAUGGAGUAGUGAAUUACGUCACGUUGACAUAUUGUUGUGAGGGUCGGAGAAGCAAUAAUGUAGGUGCUUCUUCGCAUCCAACCAUUCAGACAGGUUGCAAAGCAAGACUUACUGCUUCUUCAGAUAUUCGUGGAAUAUGGAAAAUUUGAACAGUUGAUAUCGAACACAACCAUAAAACUAGUCCUUCAAAAUCCAGAUAUAUUGCUACAAUUGGGAAUUGAGUGCAAAUGUCAAAUGCAAGGUCAAAGUGAAUGAUAUGGCUGGAAUAUCUUUACACAAGAGUUACAACUAAGCAGAUGUUGAAGUAGGUGAGUAUGAGAACAUGAAUUGCGUUGAAAAGGAUUGUCGAAAUUACAUUGAAUGAGUGAGGCAAUUGAGACUUGGUGAAGGAGAUGUCGCGGCAAUACAAUCCUAGUUAGUGCUCGGGUUUUUAAUUCUGUAUGGAUUUGGAUGAAAGAGUCCCGGCUUAGGAAUCUCUUUUGGGCAUAUAAGAGGUGUAGGCAAGCAUAUAAAGAGUUUGGGGAUGUAGUGACGUUUGAUACCACUUAUCUCACUAAUAAAUAUGACAUGCCUUUUGCCUCCUUUGUUAGUAUAAAUCAUCAUGGAUAAUCAACAGUCCUUGGAUGUGAUCUGCUGGCAAAUGAAGAUAUAGAUACAUUUGUUUAGCUAUUCAGGACUUGGAUGUAGUGCAUGUACCGAUCAAGACAGGGCCAUGUGAAAUGUAAUUGAGAUAAUCUUUUCAAACAAGAGGUAUAGAUGGUGUUUGUGACAUAUAUUAAAGAAGUUGCCGGAGAAGUUUGGGUACCACGUUCAGAAGGGCUCCAUUUUUUCGUCUAUAAACGACUUAGUGUAUAAUACACAAGACGUUGAAGAAUUCGAAGAAGGUUAGAAAGUUAUGCUUGAUACAUAUGACUUAUAUGAUAAUGAUUUUUUGUCGGGGUUGUUUAAGAACAGGGGUUGUUAGGUGCCAUGUUAUUUGACAAUAAGUUUUUGGGCGGGAAUGUCAACAACUCCGUGUAGUGAGAGUAUAAAUAUGUUCUUCGAUGGUUAUGUCCAUUCUAAUACAUCGUUAAAAAAGUUUGUCAAACAAUAUGAACGAGCAUUAUGAAAUAAAGUUGAGAAGGAAUUUCAAGCAAAUUUCAAAUCUUACUCAUAGAUGGUACCUUGUGCAACAAAAUAUGAAAUGAAAAAGAAAUUCCAAGCUACCAUUUCUAAAUUUUGGGAAUUUCAAGAUGAGAUAACUAGGAAGGUCUAUUGCGAUGUGAUAUCUACAAGAGGUUGAGGAGAAUGUCAUUUAUGAAAAAAAAUGUUAGAAAGAAAAAGUUUUUAGUCACAUUUCGGGUAGAGGAUUGCAAUGUUAUUUGCAGUUGCCACUUAUUCGAGUUUUGUGUAAUUUUAUGUAGACAUGCCAUAUCAGUGUUAAUACGUAAUGGCGUUAUAUCACUACCGGAGAGGUACAUAUUGUGGAGAUUGAGACGAGAUGUUAAUAGAGCCCACAUGAUGAUCAUUGUGAAUUACGAUAGUCUGGAUAGCACUCCUAGCCAGUUGAGGUAUGAUAGAAUGUGUGAAGUGUUUGCUACGUUGGCAGACAUUUUGCUACUAAUGACGAAGAGCGAACUAGUACGAUAAUAGAGUGGAUUCGAUUGCAGUCCAAAGACAUGAUGUCUACGAAGACGAGGUGAGGAAGUAAUAGUAUUUCGCAGCCUAGUUUGCAUUUAGUUCCCAGUCUAGAGCAUCACGUGACACUGGCAGUGGUACCAUACAAGAUCCUAAAUGUUCAAAAAGAAAGGGUGAAUCGAAGAAACUUUAUCAUAAAAGCUCAUUGAAGUCGAGUUCGAAGAAAAUAAAUGUUAUUUUUCUUUUACACAUAUCAUACAUUCAUUUGAACAAAUAUCAAAUGUCAAUUAUUCCCUUGUCAUGCAGGCAGCAUCAACUUCCAGUAAAGGAUAGAGAUCAAGAGCGGCGAAAAGCAAUCUUUGACCUAACACACCUAUCCUUUAGUCCUCGUCACAUGCACAAUAUUCGAUGCUGACACAAUUCUCAAAUUCACAAGUCAUAUUUGUAAGUAUUUAUCGUUGGUAAAUGUAUUGGAGGCAUGUUUCUAAUUAAAUUUUCAUUUCAUGCAGAGCGACGAGUAACGUCAUGCACUAACACAACAAUUGCCAUCUACAAAUUUUAUUCCCGCAUCAACAUCAAAUGUUUUGUUCAAAUAUCCUUGUGUGAGUAUAUGGUUUCAAAUGUGUAUUUAGCAUGUAAGAAAAUGUGAAUUUAGCAUCUUCCCAAAUUUUUUAUGUUUAUGUUAGGUAAUACAAUGUCAUACUACUAUCCCGAUUUGUCAUACAAUGUUGAAGCACAAUUGGGAAUAAGACCAUCCGCAAUGGGCCUUUUUCCCUCUUGGAUUUCAUGGUGUAAGUGGUGUAUUUUUUCUCCUUAAACACAGUUAAUUUCAUAUGGUUCUCCAAUUUACUUGUAAUAAUAAUAUGCUAAACGUCAUUUAAGACAUUAACUUCACCAACCAACAUAGCAGAUUGGAUGUCUAGUGCCGCCCAUACCAUUCUGCAUAUUGCUAUUGUGGAAGGUCCUUCUAUUCUUGUUCAGAAUCCAAGUUUAGGAAUUUCUCAUCAAGAUCCUAUAAGUGAUAGUGCAAUGACCUUUCAACAUGCUAGUUCAUCAAGGGGACUACUAUUUAAUUUCUAUAAUGUAACUCAAUAGGAAGGUGUCCCUUUUUUUCCCCAAAAUUUGAUGUCAAGGAAUGUGGUCAGACGUGCUUCUCUCUUUCUCUGUGUAGAAGUAUUGUUUGGAAUUUUCCCUUCAAUCUUGUGGUUUUAGAUGUAUUUUCUUUUGGUUUUUGAACUUUUGGGAUAAACAAAAAAUGCAAUGUAAUGAACUGUGGCGACAUUGGAAGGAUCGAGAAUCAAUUGUUGUUUGAAGAUAG